CCUUNNNNNNCCUUGUUAGAUUCGCCUUGAGUUUGAUCAUGGCUCGGACGAACGCUGGCGGCGUGCCUAACACAUGCAAGUCGAGCGGGAACCUCAGGAGGGGUAACCCUUCUGAGGGGAGAGCGGCGAACGGGUGAGUAACACGUGGGCAACCUGCCCCGGACUCCGGGAUAACCCAGGGAAACCUGAGCUAAUACCGGAUACUCCGGCGUGAUCGCAUGGUCGCGCCGGGAAAGCUCCGACGGUCCGGGAUGGGCCCGCGGCCUAUCAGCUUGUUGGUGGGGUAACGGCCCACCAAGGCGACGACGGGUAGCUGGUCUGAGAGGACGGCCAGCCACACUGGGACUGAGACACGGCCCAGACUCCUACGGGAGGCAGCAGUGGGGGAUCUUGCGCUAAUGCGCGAAAGCGUGACGCAGCGACGCCGCGUGGGGGAUGAAGGCCCUCGGGUUGUAAACCCCUUUCGGCAGGGACGAAGGGAAACUGACGGUACCUGCAGAAGAAGUCCCGGCUAACUACGUGCCAGCAGCCGCGGUAACACGUAGGGGACGAGCGUUGUCCGGAUUCAUUGGGCGUAAAGCGCGCGUAGGCGGCUCGGAAAGUCGGGCGUGAAAUGCCGGGGCUCAACCCCGGGACUGCGUCCGAUACUUCCGAGCUGGAGGUAGGUAGGGGGAGAUCGGAAUUCCUGGUGUAGCGGUGAAAUGCGCAGAUAUCAGGAGGAACACCGGUGGCGAAAGCGGAUCUCUGGGGCCUACCUGACGCUGAGGCGCGAAAGCUAGGGGAGCGAACAGGAUU
Molecule: ribosomal RNA, 795 nt
Filed under: uncultured bacterium
Lineage: Bacteria
Description: bacterial SSU rRNA
Rfam family: Bacterial small subunit ribosomal RNA
Source: RNAcentral